UGCGGGGGGGGCAAGCGUUGGUCGGAAUUACUGGGCGUAAAGCGUGCGCAGACGGUUGCGUAAGUCAGAUGUGAAAGCCCCGGGCUCAACCUGGGAAUUGCAUUUGAGACUGCGUAGCUAGGGUGCGGAAGAGGGAAGCGGAAUUUCCGGUGUAGCGGUGAAAUGCGUAGAUAUCGGAAGGAACACCAGUGGCGAAAGCGGCUUCCUGGUCCAGCACCGACGUUCAGGCACGAAAGCGUGGGGAGCAAACAGG
This 253-nucleotide ribosomal RNA is filed under the name uncultured bacterium. RNAcentral's name for it is "partial 16S ribosomal RNA". It matches the Rfam family "Bacterial small subunit ribosomal RNA", at positions 524 to 776 of the family's 1533-position model. The record is from RNAcentral.